UAAGCGCUACAGCUCUGGGCCUCUUUGAACAGCUCUCUUCCAAAAUUAACUCGGUUGUAGCCCUGCAUGAAUAAUAGCUUUGCAGCAACAGUUUAGAGAAAUAUAUUGUUAAUAAUUGCCAUCUUGCUGAGCAAAAUGCUGGAGCAAAUUUUACAUAACAGUACAAGACAAAAUAGAAAGGUGAGUUUGUGAAGCUCUGAAAUACACAGUUUGCAGUUCACUUUUGUUUCUAAGACUCCUCUCGUAAUGAUUUUGGAGGACACAAACAGAAACAGUAAAGUUCCUGCUGACAUUCUUAUAAGACAUGUGGACAAACUGGAGGAAUUAAUGAUCAAGAUGCCUUUUGCUAAAAACAAGAUGAACAUCCGUCACUCUGUAGUCAGGACUGAGACCUGAGCUUCUGCCCCUAAGUGAUGCCAGUGCUGAUGGGUUCUGCGCGUGUUACCUAAGAAAAUGUUACCUACACAGGGUUCUUCUAUGAACCUGGAAGAUGAAGAUGUUCUCAUAUCUUUUCUUCUAUAUGCCAUAAAGAUUUAACUUAUUUCACAUUUUCUCUUAACAUUGUGAAUUAUAUCAAUUUUUUUUUCUAAGGUUAAACUGAGAUGACCACAAUCAUUCAAUCUAUAUUC
Molecule: long non-coding RNA, 629 nt
Organism: Homo sapiens (human)
Lineage: Eukaryota; Metazoa; Chordata; Mammalia; Primates; Hominidae
Source: Ensembl